CAGCAGCAGCCGCGGUAAUACGUAGGGUGCAAGCGUUAAUCGGAAUUACUGGGCGUAAAGCGUGCGUAGGCGGUUAUAUAAGACAGAUGUGAAAUCCCCGGGCUCAACCUGGGAACUGCAUUUGUGACUGUAUAGCUAGAGUACGGCAGAGGGGGAUGGAAUUCCGCGUGUAGCAGUGAAAUGCGUAGAUAUGCGGAGGAACACCGAUGGCGAAGGCAAUCCCCUGGGCCUGUACUGACGCUCAUGCACGAAAGCGUGGGGAGCAAACAGGAUUAGAUACCCCCGUAGUCCCUGUCUCUUAUAC
Molecule: ribosomal RNA, 304 nt
Filed under: uncultured bacterium
Lineage: Bacteria
Description: partial 16S ribosomal RNA
Rfam family: Bacterial small subunit ribosomal RNA
Source: RNAcentral